This 1205-nucleotide unclassified non-coding RNA is filed under the name Hevea brasiliensis (rubber tree). The record is from RNAcentral. Lineage: Eukaryota; Viridiplantae; Streptophyta; Magnoliopsida; Malpighiales; Euphorbiaceae.
UACAAUUUAAAAGCAUUUUUAGAUACUUUAUCCAAUCUCCUAUCUUUCUCACAUUUAUAAGCACACCAGAUGACUGCUUUCACCUUAUAUCUAAUGUUUAUUGUCGUAAAAAUAGUCUAAUUUUCAUAUGGGUUGCAUAGGAAUCACCUUAACCCUUGUCAUUCAAGAGAAAAGGGUUUAUUAGAGAAAUAAGCAGCACUGAAGAACAUUUGAUCAUCAAUGAGCAAUAAAGGAAGUGGAUCAUUAACAGCAACCAGGAAUACUGAUACACGAGCAGCCAAAUGAAUGGUGGAGCUACAACCGUUUGAUCUCUGUGCCUCGGUUUGCACACCCAUAAAUGUUCUACAAUUGCCUUUGCCUUGGUGAAGACAAAGAAGUUGAGGCAUUUGAGAAGCCAGCAAACACAUUUGAGUAGGACUUGGUCAAGUAUGAAAAGUUGGCAAUUGGAGGUAGAGCAGGCACCCGUUCACCUUUCUUCAAAAGCUCUUGCAAGUUUAGUCUCUGCAUGGUCAAGACAGCUCUAGAUUCCUUCCAAAUGAAGGCAAGAAGGCCAUUUUGAAUUACAAAGAGGGAACCAGGCUUUGAGCCAGGAUAUCGGAAACCAUACCCAUUUGCAAUACCCUCGCCUGCAAAUGCAUGUUUUACACUCACAGGAAUAGAAUCAGCAUCAACAUCCCAAGGAAAUGGAUCCUGCGAAGGUUCAUCGAUAUUCACCAUAAACAUUGCUGAGCCAUUUGGAUGGAGAACAUAGUGGGUUCCUUCCAAUAUUUUGGUAGCAAUGAGUUGUCUUUGCCCUUCAUAUUCCUCAUAAGAGAUCAAAAGAAAGAACAAAGCCUUUCCUGGCUUAUCUUCAGUAGGCUUCCCAGGAGGCCAACCAAAAGUCCCACCCCAUAGACCAGCAUACUCUUGGUCAGCUCUUGGAACCCGCAUGGGUAGCUUGUACAGCGCAAACCGACUGUCAUGCAUAUUUGGCCAUGCUCGAUAAGAAGAUAACUUAACUGUAGAGGCAUGUAAUGUCAAUCCUAUUGUAUCACCUGAUCUUAAAAAUUCAUGAAGCUGUGCAUGCUUGCCCUCGCUGCUAGAAGAACUAUUCUUAGAAAGUGUACGGCCACCAUUAAUAGAGGGAGACUUCCCCAAUAUUUGUCUAAGGCUAGCCCUAAAAUACCCACUAAGAGUCUUCUUCAUGAUAGAUUUUGUUUGACCAU